CCUACGGGAGGCAGCAGUGAGGAAUAUUGGUCAAUGGCCGGAAGGCUGAACCAGCCAUGCCGCGUGAAGGUCAGUGCCCUAUGGGCGUUAAACUUCUUUUAUAUGGGACUAAAAUGUUCCACGUGUGGGAUUUUGUAUGUACCAUAUGCAUAAGGAUAGGCUAACUCCGUGCCAGCAGCCGCGGUAAUACGGAGGAUCCGAGCGUUAUCCGGAUUUAUUGGGUGUAAAGGGCGCGUAGGUGGAUUGUUAAGUCAGAUGUGAAAGUUUGCGGCUCAACCGUAAAAUUGCAGUUGAAACUGGGAGUCUUGAGUACUGUAGAGGUGGGCGGAAUUCGGGGUGUAGCGGUGAAAUGCGUAGAUAUCACGAAGAACACCGAUUGCGAAGGCAGAUCACUGGACUGCAACUGACACUGAGGCUCGAAAGCGUGGGGAGCAAACAGGAUUAGAUACCCGAGUAGUC
Molecule: ribosomal RNA, 459 nt
Filed under: uncultured bacterium
Lineage: Bacteria
Description: partial 16S ribosomal RNA
Rfam family: Bacterial small subunit ribosomal RNA
Source: RNAcentral